UUUUUGAUAAAUACUUUUGUUUGCUUACAAGUAUAAAGUCAUCAUGUUUUUUUCAUCAGUUUCUUGUUCGUUUCAAAAUUAUGAUUUUUGUUUACUUACACUCAUAAUCUUGAAACGAACAAAAAACUGAUGGAAAAACAUGAGGACUUUAUACUUGUAAAUAAAUAAAAAUAUUUAUUAGAAA
Non-coding RNA from Arabidopsis thaliana (thale cress), 184 nucleotides. RefSeq annotates it as microRNA ath-MIR837 precursor. The transcript has a single exon. The record is from RefSeq. Lineage: Eukaryota; Viridiplantae; Streptophyta; Magnoliopsida; Brassicales; Brassicaceae.